GCCAUCUUGGCUCCGUGAGGCUCUGAGGUGCCGGGGUGCGGCGGCGGCAGCGGCGGCCAGCAGGGCGGAGGCUGAGGCAGCAAGCUCGCUAGAGAGGGAGAAGCAGUCGGGCGCAGGCGCCUCCUCCGCAGCCCGCUCCAUGGUCGGCGCCCACAGCCCGCGGCGGCCUGUCUUGCGCUCCACUUCCUUCACAUCCUCCUCCGCCUCCUCGUUUUCAGGCGCCGCCGGCGGCGCUGUGUGGAGGCCCGCGAGCUGAAAUUCGCGGUGCGACGGGAGGGAGUGGAGAAGGAGGUGAGGGGGCCCAGGAUCGCGGGGCGCCCUGAGGCAAGGGGACGCCGGCGGGCCGAAGCGCAGCCCGCCGCCCGCAGGCUCGGCUCCGCCACUGCCGCCCUCCCGGUCUCCUCGCCUCGGCCGCCGAGGCAGGGAGAGAAUGAGCCCCGGGACCCGCCGGGGGACGGCCCGGGCCAGGCCCGGGAUCUAGACGGCCGUAGGGGGAAGGGAGCCGCCCUCCCCACGGCGCCUUUUCGGAACUGCCGUGGACUCGAGGACGCUGGUCGCCGGCCUCCUAGGGCUGUGCUGUUUUGUUUUGACCCUCGCAUUGUGCAGAAUUAAAGUGCAGUAAAAUGUCCACUAGGACCCCAUUGCCAACGGUGAAUGAACGAGACACUGAAAACCACACGUCACAUGGAGAUGGGCGUCAAGAAGUUACCUCUCGUACCAGCCGCUCAGGAGCUCGGUGUAGAAACUCUAUAGCCUCCUGUGCAGAUGAACAACCUCACAUCGGAAACUACAGACUGUUGAAAACAAUCGGCAAGGGGAAUUUUGCAAAAGUAAAAUUGGCAAGACAUAUCCUUACAGGCAGAGAGGUUGCAAUAAAAAUAAUUGACAAAACUCAGUUGAAUCCAACAAGUCUACAAAAGCUCUUCAGAGAAGUAAGAAUAAUGAAGAUUUUAAAUCAUCCCAAUAUAGUGAAGUUAUUCGAAGUCAUUGAAACUGAAAAAACACUCUACCUAAUCAUGGAAUAUGCAAGUGGAGGUGAAGUAUUUGACUAUUUG
This 1055-nucleotide long non-coding RNA is filed under the name Homo sapiens (human). RNAcentral describes it as "long non-coding RNA NONHSAT168996.1". Lineage: Eukaryota; Metazoa; Chordata; Mammalia; Primates; Hominidae. The record is from RNAcentral.